RNAcentral lists this long non-coding RNA (555 nucleotides) under Androctonus crassicauda. The record is from RNAcentral. Lineage: Eukaryota; Metazoa; Arthropoda; Arachnida; Scorpiones; Buthidae.
ACAGUUUCUUUCUAAAAACUGUUUACGUUUUUGAUUCUUUAUGUUUUUGUUCAACGUUUUGCCUGAUGAUGGUGUCUUGUACACUGAAAACGUUUGCAAUUAAAAGUUGUUUUGGUGUAUGCUCAUCUGUCAUAUAGUGCUUUUGUUUUUCUUUAAUAGUGGCGUUUUAAGGCAGUCAAAGUAGUUUUUAGUUAUGUACCUUAUUCUUUACACUGGUGUCUGUUACCAGUGCCUUCUCAAUGUUAAUCUGUUUAGCAGAUCUAUUGGACUUUAUUGGUUUACUCUGUGAGGUUGAUGGAUUAGGAUUACUUGCAGAGUGGAUGUGGAACUUCUGCAUUCUUUCACAGACAAAAAUAUUGUCUACAACUGCAAUAUUCUCAAUAGUAAAAGACUCAACAUGUGGUCAUGAGAUCUCUGAAUACUUAUGGAAGUGGUAUUUACAGUUUUCACAGCAGCUAUAAAAGUUUUUGCAAGAUAUAGGGUUGUUUGAAAAGUAAUUUCAUUUUUUUCCCCAUGAGAGGCAUUAAUUAUAUUUUUAACCUGGCAAUUUCAUUC